UGGGGAAUAUUGCACAAUGGGCGCAAGCCUGAUGCAGCCAUGCCGCGUGUGUGAAGAAGGCCUUCGGGUUGUAAAGCACUUUCAGCGAGGAGGAAGGGUUCAGUGUUAAUAGCACUGUUCAUUGACGUUACUCGCAGAAGAAGCACCGGCUAACUCCGUGCCAGCAGCCGCGGUAAUACGGAGGGUGCAAGCGUUAAUCGGAAUUACUGGGCGUAAAGCGCACGCAGGCGGUUUGUUAAGUCAGAUGUGAAAUCCCCGAGCUUAACUUGGGAACUGCAUUUGAAACUGGCAAGCUAGAGUCUUGUAGAGGGGGGUAGAAUUCCAGGUGUAGCGGUGAAAUGCGUAGAGAUCUGGAGGAAUACCGGUGGCGAAGGCGGCCCCCUGGACAAAGACUGACGCUCAGGUGCGAAAGCGUGGGGAGCAAACAG
This 428-nucleotide ribosomal RNA is filed under the name uncultured bacterium. RNAcentral's name for it is "bacterial SSU rRNA". It matches the Rfam family "Bacterial small subunit ribosomal RNA", at positions 355 to 775 of the family's 1533-position model. The record is from RNAcentral.